UUUCUCACGAUGUGCUGUUCGACGAAGUCUCUUGUCAUAAAUAUGAUGCUAAUGGAAACCAAGGUACAACUAGUCUUGCACUUUUCCUUAAUGAUGUUUCAUCUAUUGAGAAAUGCACUCAAUCUAAGGAAAAUGUUGAAGCCACCACAAGUAUUGAGGAUGCCACACGGAAAAAUCCACCAAGACAGAAAAUCCUCCAUCACAUUUGUCUGACUAUGUGGUUGAGAUGAAUCAUUUUUCUGUUAUGUCUUGUUUUUUUUAUAGAAGAUUC
RNAcentral lists this long non-coding RNA (271 nucleotides) under Gossypium barbadense (sea-island cotton). RNAcentral describes it as "long non-coding RNA (GBAR_LNC000650)". The record is from RNAcentral. Lineage: Eukaryota; Viridiplantae; Streptophyta; Magnoliopsida; Malvales; Malvaceae.